AUUAAACGCUGGCGGCAUGCCUUACACAUGCAAGUCGAACGGCAGCACGGGGGCAACCCUGGUGGCGAGUGGCGAACGGGUGAGUAAAGCAUCGGAACGUGCCCUAGAGUGGGGGGAUAACGUAGCGAAAGUUACGCUAAUACCGCAUAUUCUGUGAGCAGGAAAGCAGGGGGAUCGCAAGACCUUGCGCUCUGGGAGCGGCCGAUGUCGGAUUAGCUAGUUGGUGGGGUAAAGGCCUACCAAGGCGACGAUCCGUAGCGGGUCUGAGAGGAUGAUCCGCCACACUGGAACUGAGACACGGUCCAGACUCCUACGGGAGGCAGCAGUGGGGAAUUUUGGACAAUGGGCGCAAGCCUGAUCCAGCCAUGCCGCGUGAGUGAAGAAGGCCUCGGUUGUAAG
RNAcentral lists this ribosomal RNA (399 nucleotides) under uncultured bacterium. RNAcentral's name for it is "bacterial SSU rRNA". It matches the Rfam family "Bacterial small subunit ribosomal RNA", at positions 29 to 429 of the family's 1533-position model. The record is from RNAcentral.